UAGUGGAAGUUUUUUUUUUAUUAGAAAUAAAUGAAGUGGGCAAGCCACUUUCAUGAUGUUGCCAGGAAUGAGUGGCAUAAAAUGGAAGUUUUUUUUGGUUUACACGGAAAGAAGGCAAAAGAUAGAAAAAGAGAAGGAAACAGGCGAAAGGAAUUGUGAGAUUUCUAUUCCAAAUUAGGAUGUGUUCUUGCAGUAUACAUUUGUUUCAGUGCUUGCCUAUUUUCCCAUUCCCAUAUAUAUAAGUAGGGUUUGACAUGUCAAAAUAUAACAUUAAAAACAAAUUAGAGCAAAAGUGACUGGACGGCGUCAACAACAAACAAUUGAAGGCUUCAGAUUUUGAUCAUUCAGAGGCUCUACGCAAAGGGAAGGCAUUAGUUUGAUUGUUCGUGGCACCCGCUCGGCAUUGAGUACGAUCCAGGCUCCAGUUCUACACCCCGUGGCUGAUACGCGAGGGUGAUAUCUUUCAGUCAUUCAGGAUUUUGCUGGAAAUUUCCAGAUUUUGGAGAGAGAGAGAGAGGAAAACCAAAAGUAAGCAAUUUUCAAGCGACGGAGUAUUAAUCGAAGCUCGGAUACACGCAUAGAGGUGAUUCUAGCAUGGUUUUGCGGUGGAUUCAAGGUGGAUAUUAAAGAUAUCACCGUGUUAACAAAAAUAAGGCAUAUAAAUAGGGGAGAUGCUGCCGAAAUUUCGGCAGAUUCCAGAGUGAUUUAUUUGAAGGACUAAGACGAGCAUUGAGUAGUCAAAGUUAAGGCGACCAAAAAGGUGUAUAUAGAUGAGUAGAGGAUGUUGCUAGAAGCUGUUCCAGCUGGAUUGGCGAGCUCCAUUUCCUUCCGGAGUGUUGCCGAGUCAGAGUAUCUAUGUUAUGGUAUUUUGAUUGAUGUUAGAGACUUUGCAGACAGGGUCACGUAUAUAGCAUGUCAGUCUUGUAAGCGGCUCUGCAAGCUGAUGUAUCAUUAUGCAUUAUGUUACAAAUUUCAUAUGACUACAGAUUUUACUUGAUUUGAGAAAGACGAAAAGAAUGUUUUUGAAAAGCUCUCAUUAUGCAUUUCAUUUCGUGAUUUAAGAGUCCAGUGAGAUUAUGAACAUAACAAGAACCAACGGGGUUCGCUCGGCCCUGAGUAAGGGGUCGGGUGCCCAUCAUGCCCUAUCAGGAUUGGGGUGUGACACCAUUCUCACGCAUAAAAUUUUGAGUGUAAUGUUUAAGCCUUGAUCGAGAUAUACACAUUUCAUAUGU
Molecule: long non-coding RNA, 1232 nt
Organism: Lycium barbarum (goji berry)
Lineage: Eukaryota; Viridiplantae; Streptophyta; Magnoliopsida; Solanales; Solanaceae
Exons: 6
Source: RefSeq, a predicted model, not a curated record